Mauremys reevesii (Reeves's turtle) is the source of this 285-nucleotide long non-coding RNA. RefSeq lists it as uncharacterized. The transcript is spliced from 3 exons. NCBI's taxonomy places the organism in Eukaryota, Metazoa, Chordata, Testudines, Geoemydidae. The record is from RefSeq and is a predicted model, not a curated record.
CUUUGAAAAUUAAUACAGCAUUUUUGAAAAGUGGAACAUGAAAAAGUAGAGAAAAAUAGAAGCAGAGAUGAAUGGAAAUAUACUCGUAGAAGAUUGUCCAAUAACCACAGUGGCCUCAAUUCUUGGGUCCAGCCAAGCUGUGGGGAGUGCAGGACCCAAAGGAAAAACGAAGAGUCUCUGCUUCACAGGAUAGUGUUUCCCAUCCUACUAGUAUGUGCAACAAACAGAAGAAAAUUCAAUUAAUAUUGAUCUGAAGAAGGCUCGUACACAAAGCUAUUAAAACAC